Drosophila navojoa is the source of this 1409-nucleotide long non-coding RNA. The record is from RefSeq and is a predicted model, not a curated record. NCBI's taxonomy places the organism in Eukaryota, Metazoa, Arthropoda, Insecta, Diptera, Drosophilidae.
AACCACAGCAACAGCAGCCGAAGCCGAAGUCAAGUGGCGGCUCGUGUGCGACAGCGACGUCGAGACAGCUUCGUGCGCUGCCAAAGAGCGAAAUGAUGAUUACUUAAGCAGUGACUAACUAAACCAGCGUUAACAGUGUGCGGAGCGCACGAGCCAAACGAAGCGGCGUAGCAAAGCCAGAGGCUAAACCGGCGUCGCUGUCACCGUCGCCGUCGCCGUCGCCGUCGCUAAAGCCCAGUUUCAUAUAACAACUAACUACACUCUGGAAUUGUCACAGCUAAUGGCCUGGCAGUUAUAAUUAGUUGCACUUUGUGACAACUUUAUCACUGGCUUUGACGGCCGCAAGCGAAUUUGCUCAUUAAAGCCAGACGCUAGACGCCAGACGCGAGACGCGAGAGAUGAGAAAUGAGAGAGCGGCAACUAUUGCAGCAGAGGAAUGAGCACACAACAGAAAGCCAGCCGAAGCCAGUGACAGGCAACAAUGGCAGAUGAAGUACAGUAAGCGCUUAUUAAAUGCGCUGAAUGCAAAUAAAACUUUUAAGCUAAAUAGAAAAUGGCGACGGAGGACCAUAAGGACGAGCAUCUGGGAGCAUCGAGAAACAAUGGCCGGAAAUUCGCGCUGCGGAAGCCAAAAACAACAAUAACAGCUAAAGCAGCAGCAGCAACGGCAGCAGCAACGCCACUUGGGAGCCCGUCAGUCGGCCACAAAAAGCAGCUGGGUCCCGUCCUUGCCCCACUCAAAGGAUUUCGCCUGGCGCGGCACAAAACAAAGCGAGCGUAUAAUGUUGCGCUAUAGAGCAGAAUUUGGGGCAAGGGUGGCAUAGUGAACGGGGCGGACGACAGGGCUGAUUGGUUAUUUCUCCCCAGCCUUCAACCGGCUGCAAGUUUUACUCGCCACCCCCCACCACCCCAAAGAGAAAAGUUAUGAAUUGUUCAAGCUGAUUUUCAUAUCAAAUAUUUUAUAUUUUUUUCUCUGCCAAUGCUGGAAAAGUUGGAGUGCAUAAAUCAAAAGCUCUGCAUGUCCAUCUACUUCAGAAACACUUGCCGUCCCUUUCAUGCGGUGUCACUUGGCAUAUUGAUUAAUGAGCCAUGAGCAACUGCACAUAGCUUGGCACUUAGCACGUGCUGGCCGGGUCCAAAGUCAGGUACAAGGACAUCAGCAACGGCAACAGCGGCUACAAAUGUUAUUUAUGGGCGCCUCAGAAUGCAAUUUGUUGUGGUCAACAAAUCGCCAUACAAAUCGCGAACGGGAGAUCAUUAGAGAAUCAGAGACAGACAAUCUGAGAGCACGAGAGAGCCAGAGAGAGAGAGUGGGAGACAGGGGGGGGAGUGACAAAGAUGGGCGAGUAUUUUGCCCAAAAAAUAAGCAGCACGGUAAGCAAGUUGAUUAGUCACGUCCAAGGAAUGCC